RNAcentral lists this long non-coding RNA (744 nucleotides) under Homo sapiens (human). Its description in RNAcentral is "HSALNT0371248". Lineage: Eukaryota; Metazoa; Chordata; Mammalia; Primates; Hominidae. The record is from RNAcentral.
CCUGCGGCCAUGCUGGGCUAGGACAAGAGGCAGAGGCAGAGAGACAGAGAGGAGCCACCCUAAGAAGAGAGACCAGAUACCCUUUUCUCAUCCUUUGAGUUCAACAGAUGUCUCUUCUGGUUGCAAGUGACAGAAGCCCACACAGAAAAGGCUCAGACCAAAGAGAAAUUUAUGGGCUCCUGAAACCGUAUGUCAGAGAGAGAUUGGGCCAGGGCUGGGAUGUGACCCCGGCUCUUUCUUGGUUUCUCCUCGCCGCUUCUCUCUCUCCUGCAGCCUCACAGUCUCAGACAGGAUUCUUUCAAGAAUUGCAAACUUGGCUGAAGACCUUCCUGUCCCCUUUCUUACCUCCCAUGUACAGGAUGGGGGUGAUGAUCCCACUUCUCUGACUCUCACCCAGAAGUUAGGAACUCCUUAAGGCUCCUCUGUCUCCAGCCUGGAGGGAGGGCGCAGAGGGAGCUGGUGAGCCUGGCUGCCUGCCUUCUGCAGCUGACCUCCAGAAGUGACCAGGGCAGCAUCCAGGUUGGUAGGGGGAUGGUAUCCAAAGGGUCUAGAGACUCAGGGAAUCUGUCACACUCAUGCCCCCAACUCAAUUCAGUUGAUCAUGGUGCCCUCAACACCUGAGACUUUUCGAUUCUCUGCACAAUGAACUUAAUUUAGUUUUGGUUGCCCCUGGUGCCGGGUUAACCUGUCUUUGGUUGGCUGAGUCAGUAACUACUUAAUCCAUUUUGCAACUCUCAAACUCCA